Long non-coding RNA from Manis pentadactyla (Chinese pangolin), 1372 nucleotides. RefSeq lists it as uncharacterized. The transcript has 3 exons. The record is from RefSeq and is a predicted model, not a curated record. NCBI's taxonomy places the organism in Eukaryota, Metazoa, Chordata, Mammalia, Pholidota, Manidae.
AGGAUCCCCGCCCCCUGCCAGGUGAGCAGGCUCGGAACCCUCUAGUCGUACCAUCUGGCAUGGGUGCUGACAGAAAGCCAGCGGAAGGCUGCAGAGGCUCUGGGACCCUCAGCUGCUUGAGGCGGUGCUCCUGCCUGCGGAGGCUCAGCACGGAGGGCCAGUCACUCGGCCAUCGCUCUGCCCAGGAGCCUGCGCGUCUUCUUUCUGACCGAGCACAAGCUGCCUACUUUGAGGGACAGAGGCAGUGGUGGUUCAUGUUUCUGGAUCUGCUCAUACCUGGCUUUUCUGCAGAUGCUCCAAGUGCUGGAUCCGAGAGCCCCAUGGAGGGAGGCCAUGGCUUGAAUUAGUGCUGCCUCAGCUAGAGGGGUCCACAGACCACCAACGUGUCCCCUCUGUGGACAUCAUGUCCCCUUCCGGUGUAUUUUUAGUCUGUACCCUGGAAGCCUCACACACAUAGUAGACAGCCGGGAGAGAACGACAUGGCCCCAUUUAUUAUUGAAUAAGUAUUUCAGUUCGGGGAUUUGACAAUGAACAAGACAGGUAAGGUCCAGCCUCACGGGCUUUCUGUUUUGGGAUGGGUCAGACGAUCAUCAAGUGGAGGUGUGGCUGCAGUAAAGAAAUUAGAACAGGGUGAUACAGUAGAGAAGAGGGAGGGAUCGGACCAGGGCACAGGGAAGGCAUCUCUUAGGAUGUGACACUUAAACUGCCUAGUGUGACAAGAUGUAGCCAGCCGUAAAAAGGCCAGGGAGCAGGGGCUCCCCCAGAGACUGCCCUCCACGGCCCAAGAGUUUGCUCAGCUUGGUGCCCCAGGGCCCUGCUCUGUGAAUUCUCUCUGACUGUGGGUUUACCUGGAGUCUGUUCCCAGUCUUCCUGCAUGUCUGAUACAUUGAUCACCAUCAGUGAAGGCAGUGUGACACAGCGGCAGAGGCCUGUGGGCCACACAGAUGGGAGUUCACUUCUACUUCUAUCACUAACUUUUUGGGUGACCUUAGACAAGUUACUUAACUCAGAUCCUCAACUUUCUCAUCUCUAAAAUGGGAAUGACAUCAUCUUUCUUGCAGAAUUGGGAGGAAUAUAAGGAAUAUAAUGUAUAAUUGAAUGCAAUGCCUGGUUCACAAAACGUGCUGAAUAAAUGAAACACACAUGAAUGCAUACCAUUAUGUCCAUGUAUGCUCAUUACCAGGCAGUUAUAUGUAGUAAGUAAUUGUGUGUCUGAUGCCUUAUGCAUACAUGUGUGCACACGGCUCAGCAGCCGACACACUCUUGAACCACAGAUUCAAGUAGGAUUUAUGAAGGAAACAAGGCAAAGGAAACAAACAUUCAUUAAAAUCUGAUCAUUUCUUGUUUUCUGCUUAAUGCUGUUUUCCUGAGC